GACGAACGCUGGCGGCGUGCCUAACACAUGCAAGUCGAACGGGGUGAUACCUUCGGGGAUCACUUAGUGGCGAACGGGUGAGUAACGCGUGAGAAACCUGCCUUUCAGUGGGGGACAACAGUUGGAAACGACUGCUAAUACCGCAUAACAUACACGGACCGCAUGAUCUGUGUAUCAAAGAUUUAUCGCUGAAAGAUGGGCUCGCGUCCGAUUAGGUAGUUGGUGGGGUAAUGGCCUACCAAGCCGACGAUCGGUAGCCGGACUGAGAGGUUGAACGGCCACAUUGGGACUGAGACACGGCCCAGACUCCUACGGGAGGCAGCAGUGGGGAAUAUUGCACAAUGGGGGAAACCCUGAUGCAGCGACGCCGCGUGAGCGAUGAAGUAUUUCGGUAUGUAAAGCUCUAUCAGCAGGGAAGAAAAUGACGGUACCUGACUAAGAAGCACCGGCUAAAAUACGUGCCAGCAGCCG
This 471-nucleotide ribosomal RNA is filed under the name uncultured bacterium. RNAcentral describes it as "bacterial SSU rRNA". It matches the Rfam family "Bacterial small subunit ribosomal RNA", at positions 28 to 517 of the family's 1533-position model. The record is from RNAcentral.